Molecule: ribosomal RNA, 301 nt
Filed under: uncultured bacterium
Lineage: Bacteria
Description: partial 16S ribosomal RNA
Rfam family: Bacterial small subunit ribosomal RNA
Source: RNAcentral
CAGUAGCCGCGGUAAUACGAGGGGUGCAAGCGUUAUUCGGAUUGAUUGGGUGUAAAGGGUGUGCAGACGGCUUAUUAAGUCACUUGUUAAAUUCCUCGUCCUAACUGAAGGUCUGCAAGUGAUACUGAUGAGCUAGAGGGUGGAAGAGAGAAGUGGAAUUCUCGGAGUAGCGGUAAAAUGCGUAGAUCUCGAGAGGAACACCAAUGGCGAAGGCAGCUUCUUGGUCCAUUCCUGACGUUCAUACACGAAAGCGUGGGGAGCAAACAGGAUUAGAUACCCCGGUAGUCCCUGUCUCUUAUAC